Scylla paramamosain (green mud crab) is the source of this 3788-nucleotide long non-coding RNA. RefSeq lists it as uncharacterized. The record is from RefSeq and is a predicted model, not a curated record. Lineage: Eukaryota; Metazoa; Arthropoda; Malacostraca; Decapoda; Portunidae. The transcript has 4 exons.
GUGUGUGUGUGUGUGUGUCCCACUAUAAAGAGCCUACACUACACACAUACGGUUCUGUCUCCGUAUCUACAUCUACCCUUCCUUUCCUUUAUUCACUACCAUCAUCUCCUCCUCCAGUCCAUCCCAGUCACCUACACUCCUACGAGGACACCCACACUUAAAACACGACGUCCUCAGGCACUCGAGAUUUCGACUCAAGAUGAAGUAAAGUGAUCUAAAAAAUGUUUGUGUGGUUAGUUUUACAAUUUUGCGUUUUGUUUUAUCGAAUUAUCCAUUACCGUAAACAUUGUUAUGGUACCUUUACAUGACCAUGACUUAAUUUACAUGCAUUGUGUUUGGUUAACUGUAUUUUUCGCGGGCAAGAAAAAUCUAUCUAUACGUCAGCCAGUCAAAGCAUGUCUCUCUGGACCAAUGGCAGGCUACCACACAGUAAACCUCAGCCAAUAGCGAGCCACUAGUUCGUCACGAGGCGCCAUUAUUCACAUUACACAGGGAAGUGUACAGAAGGAACUCAGCCCCGGGUGAGAGUGGGCGUCUCUGCUUCUUUGCUGCCCGACCGAGAACCUGCUGGCUACCUUAGGAACAUAACGAUAUUGGAGUGCCAUAAAGUGUUGAGGUUUGUGUUGGUAAGCGUGAUUAGAAGAGGAAAACCCUAUUUCGUCACCUUUAUGUAAGGGUUCGUGCAAGGAGGCAGUACCUGAGAACUGGGCAGGUGUGAAGGUCAUAGGUAAGAGUUUUGCGCGAGGAGGCAGUACCUGAGAGCUAGACAGGUGUGAGGCUCUUGGGUAAGUGUUUCUCUCACCUUUCGCCGUUUGUCUGCAGGUAACACUACGCGGGAAGAAAUUUGUGAGGCAGUUAUACGGUGUGUGUUUUAUUUUUUUCCCCUCUGUUUUAUUUUUAUCUUCAUGAAUUGUAUGCUCAUGUAUUUGCACGAUAGUAGGUGUUGUACUGUGUGUGUGUGUGUGUGUGUGUGUGUGUGUGUGUGUGUGUGUGUGUGUGUGAUUUAUAGUACAAAGGAAUAUACAUAUCGUGGUAUUUUUUACUUAUUCCUACAUAAAUUUUUCAUUCAUUUAUUUUCCAUUGCACUCCUAAUUGUCUAUGUAUUUCUAUGUAUACUCUUAGAAAACUACUUCCUUUUUUUCCAUCAACGCUUCUCCUCUGUGUGUGUGUGUGUGUGUGUGUGUGUGUGUGUGUGUGUGUGUGUGUGUGUGUGUGUGUGUGCAAAACUCCCGCCAAAAGUAUCAUGUUUUCGGUCGUAUAAUGUUCAGAGGAGUUAAUUUUUCAAUGUAAUACAAAACUCCUGAUGUUUUUAUUCAACUUUUCGCAUCCAUUAUGUGUGUAUUCGACGUGUAAGCCGAUAUGCAUUUGUCCGCCCGCCUAUUAUUGUGAAAAAUUGUUGCCUACUUUUUCAAUACGAUGGAGAAAAAUUAUUAGAAAAGGAGGAACAUGAGAAGAGAGAAAUUGAAGGAUAAAGUUACAAAAGCCAGAGGACGAUGAGAAGAAAGGAGGGGAAAUUAGGAUGAAAGACGAGAUAGAAAUGAGGUGAUAAGUAGGAGAUGGCGAGUAAGGAAGGAGGAUAUGAAGUAGGAGGAAAGAAAUGUUCAGACGAGGAAAGCAAACUCGACAAGGGAAGUUUAAGUGUAAAGCUGAAGUCAUAAAUGCCAUGAACUUCCAUUUUUGUUACGAGUUAUUUUAGUCAGAGGGCAAGUCAGUGAGAAAUAUCAUUCUUCCAUACAUGAAUUAGUUUAAAUUCUUCAGUGGUUCAAAUAAACGUUGUAUACAUUCAUGCAUUUGUAUGAUAUGUGUACAAUAUUUGAUUUCAAGCACAGAAUGCAUUUUAUUGUACAGUAUUGCUUUCAUUAUUUUCCUUUACCAUACGUUAGUUUAGUUUUUUCGGUGAUUGCACUACGUUAAGCCUUUCAUUGCCCAUAAAACUUUUGAUCUUAGUAACUCAAGGCAAUGAUACUAAUGAAAAAUGGAACUACAAACACAUGAUAACAUUUUACUUUGUGUGAUCUUUGAAAAUUACAAUGUAAACUUGUUUUUUGCUGUAAAAUUGUUUAUUUCUUGUCCUUUGCUGUAUAUUAUUUUCAUGGUGGCAAUAUUACUUUUACACUGAUUACAAAUAACACUUUUAUUUCAGCAGCCUAGAACAAUAUUACUAAAACAAAAAUUAAACUACAAUCACUCAAUAACAUUUUGACUUGUGUGUCAUUUAAAAAUUUACAACCUACACUUCUGAACCCUUUGCAGCAAGAUGACAAGUAACCGUGGCAGUCAAGGGUUAACGUGGCUAAAGUGACUAAUGUUCCGUGAGAGAAUAAUGCCAGACGAGCAGACAUGGCAAUACGUGUGUCAGUUUUUGCCUGACACAACGCAGCGUGAGAAAAAAAAAAAAAAAAUUAUUGUACGUAUCCUUCACUCCCACUAAUCUGAGUCACAUUUGAUACUGGGACUGACUGAACGUUACAUGUGUGUGUGUAUGUGUGUGUGUGUGUGUGUGUGUAGCUCUAGUAUACUCGUACAUGACCUGAGCUAUACUUCUGGUUAGGUUUACGUGUGUGUGUGUGUGUGUGUGUGUGUGUGUGUGUGUGUGUGUGUGUUCGCGUGUGUGCGUGCGUCGGGUUCCGUGCGUGCGAGUCGUAUUGUGGGUUUUCGUGCAUGUACGUCAUCUGCCUCGUGACUGGCGUGUGUACGUAUGUGGGUGUGUGUGUGUGUACGUACUUACAUGGUGGUCGGGGCGCCAUGCUCACGCCACUCACCAUUAUUAUUAUUAUUAUUAUUAUUAUUAUUAUUAUUAUUAUUAUUAUUAUUAUUAUUAUUAUUAUUAUUACUACUACUACUACCACUACUACUACUACUACUACUACUACUACUACUACUACUACUACUACUACUACUACUACUACUACUACUACUACUACUACUACUACUACUACUACUACUAUCUUUAUCAUUAUUUGUUUUGAACUGAUUUGCUUUUUUUCUUGUUUUUUUAUAAACUGAUUUUUGGUGUGGUGGUGAUGGUGGUGAUGUGGUAAAGAUGUAGUAGUGAUGGUAGCUUGAUGUGGUGGUGAUGGUGGUGAUGUUGGUUACGGUGAUGUGGUGCGGUGGUGGUAAUUGUGGUGUUGGUGAUCCUGGUGGUGUGUGUGUGUGUUGCGCAUGCGUAGUGGUGGUGAUGAAAGUGAUUACGAAAUGUGUGGCACUAGAAUUACAACGAUUAUAAUGAAGGAAAAGAUAAAUGCCUUAUAGAUAUUACGAAAUGAUAUAUACAAAUAUAAUGAAAACGAGGUAAAUGAGAAUUUUGAACUAUCGUGUUUCAGACCAUCGUAAUAAUAAAGAUACAAUAGAAAGAAAUAGACAGAACUAAACAAAGAGAACAUAAAAAUAAUAAAUAAACAAAACAAAGAGAACAUAAAAAUAAUAAAUAAACAAAGAAAUUUUCUCCCUUAUUUUUUUUUGCACAAAUAAAAAAAAAAAGAAAAAGUGCACUGAGAAAUCUUUCAGUACCCAUUUUUUUCAUAUUUAAUUUCCUGACAGCAAGAAAAGUGUGAGGAAAAUAUAUAAAGUUCAGGGAGUGUAUUGCAGUAAAGUAUACAAUAAAUGUCACUUAUAUACAUCACCUACACUUUUAUUCCUUCACUUUAAACUUUUACACUUGCAGGUACGAGAGGUGACAGACUGACAUGUGGACCGUGGGAGUGCAGGUGUGUGACUGAUACACCUGUUCACCUAUCUACACACCUGACAAUUUUACAUAUCUACACACUUGACAGUCUUUUGUAAUA